CCGAGACGAGCCCCCCCCCACCCCCCCCCUCCCCGGCAGCGCAUCCCUCCCGCCCGCGGCCGGGGACGGCGGACUCGGAGCGGAGCGGGGGCUGCCCGCACCCGGAGGGGGGGCCGCAAGUUGGCAGCAAGUUUCCCGGCCCCGCGUUGUAGGGCCGGGCCCGGCGGCGGCGCGGCCAACAAAGGUCGCACGGAGAGGAGCGGAGAGAAGCGCUCCCGGCGCGGCGGCCCCAAACUUUGCCGGGAGGGCACCGAGCAGUGCGGGGAAACCUCCCGGCGGGACGGAGCCGCACGGAGAGCAGCAUCCGAGCAUCCCCGCUUCCCCCCCACGCCGUGACAGCGGAGAGCUGGACAACAUUAAAGGCCUUUAAAGCCCACGAGGCUCUGACCCCACAGCGGUGGGAUGAGGUUCGCUUCUCCCCCCCCCGACCCCCCCAUUCGCCCUCACCUCCUGGCGGCGCGCAGAACGCAACUUGGCUGCACUAGUUUAUGGGCACAUCCACACGGAGCAGCCACGAAGCACUCGAUAUCGUCGUGCCCACCGGCCGAAAGAAAUCCCCCCCGAAGAAAACAUCUUCAGCACAACGAGCACAUCCCCUCCGAGUCCCAGUCUGCGUCAUGCCCAGCAAGCUGAGCCUCCUCAGGCAGAUCUCUGCUAUAUGAUUAUGAACCAGAGCAAUCGCUGCCUACAUCAGGAACUAUGGAACAGGACAUCGGCCAGACCUGAACCAUAAUAAAAGGGGGGAAAAAACACAACACAAGAGAACUCACCAACAAAGAAAUGCUGGGGGAGAAAACAAAGAUAAACAAGCAAGAGGGAGUGCUGGGAAGGAGAGAGGAAAUGGAAGGAAGAAAGAAAGGAAGCAGAGAUCAUUGCUCUGAAUGUUUCUGACAUAAACCUUUCUUUUCCCUUACCCUAGCCCUAGCUUAGAGCACUUACCAUACUGUGUUUGCCACUUAGUGCCUAUCUCCUUCUCCCUAGUUUCCUUCAUCCCAUGUUUUCUGAGCUCCCAGCUUGGUGUGAGGAAUCACGGUCCAAAAAGGGGGAAAAAAAAGUUACCAUUACCGCUGUAUUAAUAUCGUAUUGCUGCAUUAGUGUAUGGAUGUCACUGUGUUAUUGUAGAUUCAUCUGUAAAAUUAUGUUCUUGUAGUAAGUUCAACUAAUUGCAAGAAGCAGCAAGCCAAACAAAUGGUUUGAGGGGAUCUUUGAAACUUUCCUAUGGUCAUCUUGAAGCCUUGCUUUGUACAAAUUGCGAGGAUGUAGAACAAAAGCUGUUGUCUUAUCAGAAACUGGAGAAAAUGAGGAAUUUGGAAUCAAUGACGAGUCAGCUCGAGCUGAAACUAAGACAAUACGUAACUACAAGCCUUGUUCAGCUCUUCUCAAGCUGAGAAUCAGGAUGUAAGUCCGAAUACCCCCACGUGAUGAGAAAAAUGAAGCCUCCCCCCGCCAGCCCUUCCCUUUGCAUUUCUCUUGCUCUGUUCCUUUGAGGGGUGCCCAAACCAAAAAGGUUCAGGCAAAACAGGGCAGUUGGGGUUGAAAUGAACCAAAAGGCUCUGACUUCCAUUUAGGUGUGGGAAACAUCUCAAAUUAUAAAUUCUUAUCUGAAUUUUUGUGUGCUAGUGAUUUUUUGUUGCUAUAGUGGUCCUCCAGUUCAAGAGAUGAACCAAAAAAUCAAUUAUCCACCCAGCUCAAGUUAGAAAUACCAUAACUCACGAAUAUUACAGAAUCCACAGGUCUUUAUAUACAAGCAAAUGGGCAGAAAGAAAGCCUUAAACUAAGGAGAUGAUUUAAAAAAAAUAAAAUAAUAAAACCCAUCAAAUGAUAACACUUCAGCCUGAUGCCUUUGGCAGCUGCUGCAAUAUUGUAAGUAAAGGAAGUGCUGGAAAAUAAAGUGAGCUUUUCAUGUUU
Coturnix japonica (Japanese quail) is the source of this 1908-nucleotide non-coding RNA. NCBI's taxonomy places the organism in Eukaryota, Metazoa, Chordata, Aves, Galliformes, Phasianidae. The record is from RefSeq and is a predicted model, not a curated record.